Molecule: long non-coding RNA, 331 nt
Organism: Engraulis encrasicolus (European anchovy)
Lineage: Eukaryota; Metazoa; Chordata; Actinopteri; Clupeiformes; Engraulidae
Exons: 3
Source: RefSeq, a predicted model, not a curated record
CACUCCGACCUGAGAAGUGGCCCCAUAGAGACACGGACAAGGACCAGCCACUGUUGCCAGUGCACAACUGAGGACCCGACCAGCCUGCUGCCAUCUAUGAUAUAUAGUACCCGCGGAGCGGUCUGAAGACGUGGAGUACACUGCAGCAGGUAUCACAUGACCAAGGACUUGGACAACGUCUCUGUUUACAUCUAUAGUGUAUUACACAACUGAAGAUGUGCACAGUACGCUACUGCCUGCAUCCUACCACCACAGAGGAUCCGAUAUGCAGAACCAGCUUCAAAAACCAUUGCAAUUAUGAAACACAGUUAAUAAAUGCUUAUAUACAGCA